ACUCAAAUGAAUUGACGGGGGCCCGCACAAGCGGUGGAGUAUGUGGUUCAAUUCGACGCAACGCGCAGAACCUUACCUGGGUUUAACAUCCCACGACAAGCGUAGAGAUACGCCUUCUACUUCGGUAGCGUGGAGAUAGGUGCUGCAUGGCUGUCGUCAGCUCGUGUCGUAAGAUGUUGGGUUAAGUCCCGCAACGAGCGCAACCCCUAUCCUUAGUUACCAUCAUUAAGUUGGGGACUCUAGGGAGACUGCCGGUGUUAAACCGGAGGAAGGCGGGGAUGACGUCAAGUCCUCAUGGCCCUUACAUCCAGGGCUACACACGUACUACAAUGGCAGAAACAAACCGAUGCGAAGCCGCGAGGUGGAGCCAAUCGGAAAAACACUGUCUCAGUCCGGAUUGGAGUCUGCAACUCGACUCCAUGAAGUUGGAAUCGCUAGUAAUCGCAGAUCAGCACGCUGCGGUGAAUACGUUCCCGGGCCUUGCACACACCGCCCGU
RNAcentral lists this ribosomal RNA (497 nucleotides) under uncultured bacterium. Its description in RNAcentral is "partial 16S ribosomal RNA". It matches the Rfam family "Bacterial small subunit ribosomal RNA", at positions 899 to 1397 of the family's 1533-position model. The record is from RNAcentral.